UACGUAGGGUGCAAGCGUUAAUCGGAAUUACUGGGCGUAAAGCGUGCGCAGGCGGUUUUGUAAGUCUGUCGUGAAAUCCCCGGGCUCAACCUGGGAAUGGCGAUGGAGACUGCAAGGCUAGAGUUUGGCAGAGGGGGGUAGAAUUCCACGUGUAGCAGUGAAAUGCGUAGAUAUGUGGAGGAACACCGAUGGCGAAGGCAGCCCCCUGGGUCAAAACUGACGCUCAUGCACGAAAGCGUGGGAGCAAACAGG
This 252-nucleotide ribosomal RNA is filed under the name uncultured bacterium. RNAcentral describes it as "partial 16S ribosomal RNA". It matches the Rfam family "Bacterial small subunit ribosomal RNA", at positions 524 to 776 of the family's 1533-position model. The record is from RNAcentral.